Molecule: ribosomal RNA, 253 nt
Filed under: uncultured prokaryote
Description: partial 16S ribosomal RNA
Rfam family: Bacterial small subunit ribosomal RNA
Source: RNAcentral
ACGGAGGGUGCAAGCGUUAAUCGGAAUUACUGGGCGUAAAGCGCACGUAGGUGGUUUGCUAAGUCAGCUGUGAAAUCCCCGGGCUCAACCUGGGCACUGCAGUUGAAACUGGCAAGCUAGAGUAGGGUAGAGGGGUGUGGAAUUCCAGGUGUAGCGGUGAAAUGCGUAGAUAUCUGGAGGAACAUCAGUGGCGAAGGCGACACCCUGGACCAGCACUGACACUGAGGCACGAAAGCGUGGGGAGCAAACAGGA